GACGAACGCUGGCGGCGUGCCUAAUACAUGCAAGUUGAGCGCUGAAGGUUGGUACUUGUACCAACUGGAUGAGCAGCGAACGGGUGAGUAACGCGUGGGGAAUCUGCCUUUGAGCGGGGGACAACAUUUGGAAACGAAUGCUAAUACCGCAUAAAAACUUUAAACACAAGUUUUAAGUUUGAAAGAUGCAAUUGCAUCACUCAAAGAUGAUCCCGCGUUGUAUUAGCUAGUUGGUGAGGUAAAGGCUCACCAAGGCGAUGAUACAUAGCCGACCUGAGAGGGUGAUCGGCCACAUUGGGACUGAGACACGGCCCAAACUCCUACGGGAGGCAGCAGUAGGGAAUCUUCGGCAAUGGACGAAAGUCUGACCGAGCAACGCCGCGGGAGUGAAGGAGGUUUUCGGAUCGUAAAACUCUGUUGGUAGAGAAGAACGUUGGUGAGAGUGGAAAGCUCAUCAAGUGACGGUAACUACCCAGAAAGGGACGGCUAACUACGUG
Molecule: ribosomal RNA, 497 nt
Filed under: uncultured bacterium
Lineage: Bacteria
Description: partial 16S ribosomal RNA
Rfam family: Bacterial small subunit ribosomal RNA
Source: RNAcentral